UUGGAAUGCAAGCGCCCAGAGGAAAGGCCAUGGAGGACACAGGAAGAGCCGCCUUCUGAGAGCCAAGGACAGGGGCCUCGGGAAAACCAGACUUUCUGACACAUUGAUCUUGGGCUGCCAAACUCCAGAACUGCUGGAGCGCCUCCUGUCCCAGAGAAUUUUGAAGCAGCACCAUCCUGCUGUGGCCCUUGGAGUAAUAGUCAGUAAAGAAGGCCACUCCAGACAGGGACGAUCUACAGGUUAUGACAUGGAUUGGAUGUGCCUUGGUGUUGAUCUGCAGGAUCCUUGAGAGCUUCCCAGGUGAGUUUUGGCUGGUCCAAGAGGAACUUCAGUUGCUGGAGACAUUUGUAGGAGUGCUGGGGAGUAAAACCAGGAAAUUCUGAAAAAUGUCAUGGACAACAACAGUGGUACCCAUUCCCAUUCCUACUGAGUCGGCUGAGAAGAGAGAUGAUUGAUACUCUAUUACCAACAGGCUGAAGGCUUAAAAACAGCAAUAACAAAAUUAAAAUAUUUUUUAAAACUCAGCACAAAAUGUAUGUUAUUUUUAAUUUGUUUUAUUAUUGUUACUAUUA
Manis pentadactyla (Chinese pangolin) is the source of this 572-nucleotide long non-coding RNA. RefSeq lists it as uncharacterized. Lineage: Eukaryota; Metazoa; Chordata; Mammalia; Pholidota; Manidae. The transcript has 3 exons. The record is from RefSeq and is a predicted model, not a curated record.